CAAUAGCGUAUAUUUAAGUUGUUGCAGUUAAAAAGCUCGUAGUUGGAUUUCGGGUGGGACGCAGCGGUCUCGCAUUGCGUUUGUACUGCUGCAGCCCUCCUUCUUGCCGGGGGCGGCCUCUCGGACUUCACUGUCUGGGGGUCAGAAUCGGCGAUGUUACUUUGAGUAAAUUAGAGUGUUCAAAGCAAGCUUACGCUCUGAAUAUAAUAGCAUGGGAUAACACGACAGGACUCUGGCCUAUCGUGUUGGUCUAUAGGACCAGAGUAAUGAUUAAGAGGGACAGUCGGGGGCAUUCGUAUUCCGUUGUCAGAGGUGAAAUUCUUGGAUUUACGGGAGACGAACAUCUGCGAAAGCAUUUGCCAAGGAUGUUUUCAUUGA
This 378-nucleotide ribosomal RNA is filed under the name uncultured eukaryote. RNAcentral's name for it is "partial 18S ribosomal RNA". It matches the Rfam family "Eukaryotic small subunit ribosomal RNA", at positions 592 to 976 of the family's 1831-position model. The record is from RNAcentral.